CUCUAAUAUUAUUCCAGAUUAUAUAUUUUACGGAAUAUAUACAGUGAAAUAUUAGAUAUUAAAGGGAUUUAUUCCUUCCUAAGAGAAAAUUUUUAAAAUAUAGUUUAAAUAUUGCAUAAGGCAGUAUAAAAUAUGAAACA
Molecule: non-coding RNA, 140 nt
Filed under: chicken gut metagenome
Description: RT-14 RNA
Rfam family: RT-14 RNA (bases 1-89)
About the family: Cloacimonetes, Firmicutes, Proteobacteria. Nearby to self-splicing intron genes
Source: RNAcentral